GGCCUGCCACGUGGCAAGAUCGCGUCACUCCGAAAGGAGCCACGUUGGCGAUCCGCGUGGGUGCGAUCCGACGGCCCAGAUCAAUCACGCGAUCGGACGGCCCAGAUUCAAACGCACGGACGGCCCAGAUUAAAACGAAAUGAAUGGCUGUGAUCAAAAGGCAAGGGGUUAUAAAUAGAACCCCCACACCAGACCACAAACCCUAGCCGCCAGCCGCUCGCCGGAGAAGACGAACCAGAGGCCGACCGCCGCCACCC
RNAcentral lists this long non-coding RNA (257 nucleotides) under Carica papaya (papaya). Its description in RNAcentral is "long non-coding RNA (CPAP_LNC016180)". The record is from RNAcentral. Lineage: Eukaryota; Viridiplantae; Streptophyta; Magnoliopsida; Brassicales; Caricaceae.